RNAcentral lists this long non-coding RNA (913 nucleotides) under Pongo abelii (Sumatran orangutan). Its description in RNAcentral is "lincRNA". The record is from RNAcentral. Lineage: Eukaryota; Metazoa; Chordata; Mammalia; Primates; Hominidae.
AUUCUCCUCUGGCCCUUUCCUCUGUUCUUCAGCCCCAACAGCUUCUCAAGACAUUUUCACCUGUGUAAAAAUCAGGAAAAGGGCACAUACGAAAAAUACUUCCCUUUGCCUAAUGAUCUUUAACUCAUAAUUAUGGUCAAGACGUUCGGGGUUUUGUUUGUGUCUUUUCCUGGAGAGGAGCAGAGAAGAGAGUGAAAGACACCCGAAACACCAAAUCUUCUUCCUAAUGUUAAUUAUCAUUGUUUAUGUUUUGUGAAGACCAUUCUAAACAUUCCACACCUGGAAUUGAAGACUGGAUACAAUUGUACCAGUGCUCUAUACGCUGAUGACAAAACCUGGAAUUAUUUUAGACCUAUUUUUUCUUUCCCAUCUCACAGCCAGACACAAUUUGCUUCUUUUCUUUCACGUGGUUACUUUCUCUACCUCAAAAAAAAUAGCUUAUCAUAGCUCCUCCCGAUUUCCUAUGGCAAAAUAUCUAGCAAGGAGCCUUAUUAAUCUUUUAUUAUGCUACACCUCCUUUCCCAGAGGAAUUAUUAAUAUCGCUAAUAACACUUCGACCAUGAAUUUCAACGCCACACAGGCCAGCCCAUCCUGUGCUUUACCUGGCACAUUUCACAACUACUUUUAUGCUGCAUUCUUGGGGGCACAUUUUGCAACUCGUUCUGCACCACAUUCCCUGCCACGUUUAGCAAUCCGCCUCGUAUCUUAUUCUUGAUCCCCGUCAUCCAGAGACGCUCUAGGUACCAAAUUCCAUGACAUCUUCGGUGACAGCCAAGCGGCGACCCCACACGCCUCUGAAGCCCGCCUUGGUGUCAUAUUCGGAGCCAGCCUUCCCCACGCCUUGGACACCGAGGCACUUCGCUGCCCAUUUCGCCGUCUCCCCGCUCGCCCCCGCCCCUCUCCCCAGAGCCAA